AAUAGAUACCCAGGUAGUCCAUGCCGUAAACGAUGUCUACUAGCCGUUGGGGCCUUUGAGGCUUUAGUGGCGCAGCUAACGCGAUAAGUAGACCGCCUGGGGAGUACGGUCGCAAGACUAAAACUCAAAUGAAUUGACGGGGGCCCGCACAAGCGGUGGAGCAUGUGGUUUAAUUCGAUGCAACGCGAAGAACCUUACCUGGUCUUGACAUAGUAAGAACUUUCCAGAGAUGGAUUGGUGCCUUCGGGAACUUACAUACAGGUGCUGCAUGGCUGUCGUCAGCUCGUGUCGUGAGAUGUUGGGUUAAGUCCCGCAACGAGCGCAACCCUUUUCCUAUUUGCCAGCGGGUUAAGCCGGGAACUUUAAGGAUACUGCCAGUGACAAACUGGAGGAAGGCGGGGACGACGUCAAGUCAUCAUGGCCCUUAGACCAGGGCUACACACGUGCUACAAUGGUCGGUACAAAGGGUUGCUACCUAGCGAUAGGAUGCUAAUCUCAAAAAGCCGAUCGUAGUCCGGAUUGGAGUCUGCAACUCGACU
RNAcentral lists this ribosomal RNA (539 nucleotides) under uncultured bacterium. RNAcentral describes it as "bacterial SSU rRNA". It matches the Rfam family "Bacterial small subunit ribosomal RNA", at positions 777 to 1317 of the family's 1533-position model. The record is from RNAcentral.